This 473-nucleotide ribosomal RNA is filed under the name Apoderus coryli (hazel leaf roller). Its description in RNAcentral is "partial 16S ribosomal RNA". It matches the Rfam family "Bacterial large subunit ribosomal RNA", at positions 1821 to 2566 of the family's 2925-position model. The record is from RNAcentral. Lineage: Eukaryota; Metazoa; Arthropoda; Insecta; Coleoptera; Attelabidae.
CUUUUUGAGUAUAAUUUAAGGUUUAGUCUGCCCACUGUAAAUUAAAGGGCCGCGGUAUUUUGACCGUGCAAAGGUAGCAUAAUCAUUAGUUUUUUAAUUGAAAGCUGGAAUGAAUGGCUGGAUGAAAAAUUAACUGUCUCAGUUUAAUUUAAUUAGAAUUUUAUUUUUAGAUUAAAAAGUCUAAAUUUAAUUGAAAGACGAGAAGACCCUAUAGAGUUUUAUAGUUUAUAAAGUAUUUUGAAUUGGUAAAUAUAUAAUUAUAAAUAUAAAUUAUUUGGUUGGGGUGACUGAAAAAUUUAAAUAACUUUUUUUGAUUUAUGACAUUGAUUUAUGACAAAAUGAUCCAAAUUUAUUGAUUAAAAGAAAAAAUUACCUUAGGGAUAACAGCGUAAUCACUCUUUAGAGUUCUUAUCGGAAGAGUGGCUUGCGACCUCGAUGUUGGAUUAAAAUAAGCUUUAGGUGUAGUGGCUUGA